This is a long non-coding RNA of Cicer arietinum (chickpea), 1559 nucleotides long. RefSeq lists it as uncharacterized. The record is from RefSeq and is a predicted model, not a curated record. Lineage: Eukaryota; Viridiplantae; Streptophyta; Magnoliopsida; Fabales; Fabaceae.
UCCCUAAGUUAACUAAAUUCCCUUUCAUUUUUUCAUCACAUAGUUCGUUCUUCUUCAUCCUUCUGCAAACCCACGAAUCUAAACAUCUUCGUUCUUCUUCAUCCUUCUGCAAACCCACGAAUCCAAACAUCGUUUGUUCUUCUUCAUCCUUCUGCAAACCCACAAAUCCACGAAUUCAAACCUGCGAAUCCAAACCUGCGAAUCCAAAUCCAUUUUUCAUCCUUCAACAUUCGUUUUUCAUCAAAUCCAACCACAUUUAACCUUUAUCCUUCAGUGAAAACGUUUUCAUCCUUCCACAUUUAACCUUCAUUCUUCAGUGAAAAGUGAAUCGUGAUUCGCAGCUUUUAGCCUUCAUCGUCGGCGAGUUGGUCCGGUGCAACUUUCAGUCAAUUUCUUUCACUAUCGAGAAGUGUUUGUGGCUUUCUCCGACACAAUUUUGAUUCCUGACAAAUUGACGCACGCUUGAGAGUUGCACAAAUUCAAAGGACUAUGCAUAUAUAUAUAUAUAUAUAUAUAUAUAUAUAUAUAUAUACUUAUUCUUAUAUGAUGAUAAAGUUCAUUGGCUUUGGAAUGCGUCAAAAUUAAAGCUGAUCUGACUCCUCCUACCUCAUGCCAAUGCUCAAACAACUAAAUUCAGAUGAAUUCGCAUGCUUCCCAUCAAUCAAAAUAUAAAGGGGAUGAUGAUUUGUUCUGGGGUCCAAUUGAACAAUCCAAGCAAGAAACUAAGCAGUCAGAUUUUCCUCAGCUGGCUAGCCAGGGAAGCUGGGGGUCGAAAAUGUACCCCUGAAAGGUAAUUCACCAGGAUUUUUAACCCGGCAGAAAUCAGCAAGUGGCAAGCCAACUGAGCGACCUCUACAAUCACCACCUGCCUCUUCUCCAUCGGCGCUGAAACUGAAAAAAGAUGCCAUGACUAAGCAUUCUGAGGCCAUGGGCUUCAGAGAUUAGUGUGAGAAUGAGUGUGUUAAGCUCAUUGGGACAAAAGAUACAAGUUUCCUUGAAUUUUGCUUGAAGCAAUCCAGAUCAGAAGCUGAGACCCUUCUUAUAGAAAACCUUGGAUCGUAUGACCCUGACCAUCAAUUCAUUGAUAAAUUCCUCAAUUACAAAGAGUUGUUACCAUCGGAUGUGUUGGACAUAGCUUUCCAGAGUAGGCAUGACAAGAAAGUUAACGGACUUGGUGUCGCUGCUGGUGGCAUGGCAUCAGCUAAAGCUGCAGAUAUACAGGAUGUGGACCAAACUGAAGGAUCCUCCAAAGGAGGUGGAAAGAAGAAGGGGAAAAAGGUUAGCCCUUUAGUUUUGGGAUUUAAUGUUGUGAGUAACCGGAUCAUGAUGGGUGAGAUCCAGACUGUAGAAGAUUAAGAUAAGAUUACAAUUAAAUUUUAUGCAUGAGGUUGUUGCGGUAGAUGUACAUACAUUUUGGUCGCAUAUUGUAAAUGCUUUUGUUCGAUUUAGGAUAUUUAUUUCCUACACAGACUGUAGCAGCAUUUAGGAUAUUUAUUUCCUACACUUGUAUCAUUUUAGUAUCUUUAGAUUGGUAAUAGAAGAUAAUGUUUUUUUUUUAA